Long non-coding RNA from Erinaceus europaeus (western European hedgehog), 569 nucleotides. RefSeq lists it as uncharacterized. Lineage: Eukaryota; Metazoa; Chordata; Mammalia; Eulipotyphla; Erinaceidae. The transcript is spliced from 3 exons. The record is from RefSeq and is a predicted model, not a curated record.
UUUGGCGAUAGAAGGCUGACAGAGUAUGCAGUGAUCUAUGCAGGCGCAUGGUGGACUGUAGGUGAAUCCAGACUGCUGGUGUGCAAAGCAUUGUGGGUAGGCUGAAUAAACUUAAAAGGACAGCCAGCCGGAACUCUGGUGCUCUUUGGCUGCAGCUUCUUCUCCUGGUCAGAUGCCUCUCAGCGGAGGUGUCCCAGGCAUCCAUCCGCCAUGUCUACUUCUCCUGGGAACUGAGCACAUGCGACUCUGCUAGCAGAACCACAACAAAUGCCUGUGUAAUUUCACCAAUCCGAGCUGCUGUUUUAUUCAGGUAAAGGUGGGAGGGGAGAUACCAGAGCUCUGGAGCUUCCCUGUAUUCCAAAGCACCUCCCAUGUCGUGCCAGGGCUCGAAUCUCGGCUGUGCACUUUGGCAAAGACAGAACAUGCACUUUAGCUGCCUAUCUUGGAUGGAGCUUGAAGAAAUCAUGUUAAGUGAAAUAAGUCAGAAACAGAAGGAUGGGAUGAUCUCACUAUCAGGCAGAAGUUGAAAAACAAGAUCAGAAGAAAAAAAACACAACUAGAACCUGAAC